AGGCGCGCGCUUAUUUCAACCCAGCAGGAAUUUAAAUACUCAGAUUAGGAAAUUCUAGUUUAAAUGAAAUGAUCUGAACAUGCUUUCGCGCACUGAGGAUCGCAAACCAACCACCCCGGAUCGCUUGCAGACGAUGGACGACUCCUUCAGCCACGACAGCGAGCAAUCAAAAAGUGAUCAGUUGUUCUGUGGUGAUAUCAAGUCCAUAAACGGCGGUUCAACAUUGGUAGUACACUCCUAUGGUACAGCCGACACCACACAACCCAACGAGACAGCAAACAACUCCAACAAUAACAAUUCCGUACGAAACAUACAACGCGUGGCGGAAAACGAUUGCGGAAACUCGAUCCCUAACUUUCUUACGUUCGUCAGUGACGUAACGCAAUCACGUGACAAAGAUAAUGACGUCAUCAAAGAUCUGGAUCGUCAAGCGCCAGGAGUUCAAAACUUUAAAGUUCACACGCUGUCGGUUGAUUCAGAAAAAAGCGGAAAUAAGACGAUAUUGCAGCAACUACAACAUGCAUUGGCAUGUGAGGACAACAAUACGAACCAACCCCACCACAAAAGGUACCCUUGCCAACCAAUUCUCAUGUGCCUGCCCUGCCGAGUUACCUUCGCCCGCCAUUCGUCCUUCGUUGAUCACGUCAUAAGGGAACAUGACGUCAUACCUAAUGAAGCGGAACGGACGCUACUCGCUCUAAGUCACGUGUCCGCAGUACUACAGAAAAUCACAGAGGAUCAAUCAAUGGUUUGUUUUUUGGAGCCUGUUACUUCCGCAGAAGAAAUAUCGGUUGUAAAAAUAAAUGACUUCGAAGAAAAUGAGAAUUUAGUUGAACACAAGGGAGAUAGUUAUAGCGGAACGAACAAGCUUGAAAGUUUAUCUCCCGGUGAAUCUGAAUCUGUAACUUCUAAGAACCCGAAGACAAGUAAGGAAGACUUGCCAUCCACCACUAACCCCAACAUUUCAGCCGGUUGUACCAACCCACCGACGACUCCAAGCGAUAAUGCGAAAAGUGAAUCUGCUUUGGAUCUUUCCCAUACCGUGACGUCAUCUCAAAGUAUCGCUACGUCAUCACGCAUCGUGAUGUCAUUCGCUGUCGCUUCUCCCACCCCCAUAAGCGUGCAUACGUCACCCUCUACGUCACGCAGUGAGCUGUUCAUUAACAGCGUAAUACGAGAUGUUCCAGAUUUCCACGACCAAAAGCGUUGUGACGUCACGGAGGGCACUGUGACGUCACUUUCCGGUGCCGGGAAUUCCCCCGAAAGAAGAAUGUCCGAUAUCGAAGCCAAACAUUCUAUGACGUCACCAUCACCCAAGUCAACGAACGUCAUAGCUACGUAUCAAAGUUCCCACGUUCACUCGCCAUCGUCGCAGAUAAUGAAUUCCGGUGGAAACGAGUUAAUGAACACAUCUUCAACUGAUUCGAUGUUUCCAAUGUCUCUUUUCCAAUCCAGGAACUCAUGCAAAACGCUCAAGUGUCCCAAAUGCAAUUGGCAUUAUAAGUACAGGCAAACUUUAGAGGCGCAUAUGAAAGAAAAACACCUUGAAGACACGACUGACUGUGGAUAUUGCAACUCGAACCAACCCCAUCCUCGCCUAUCGAGGGGAGAGAGUUACUCAUGUGGAUAUAAGCCGUUCAAGUGUACGGUAUGCAACUACUCGACGACAACGAAAGGCAACCUAAGCAUCCAUAUGCAGUCUGAUAAACAUCUUUACAACGCAAGAUCCCUACAGCACAGACAAGAGGGAAUUCGGCAAGGGGUCGCUACGUCAACUUAUUACGUACCAAGACCCCAGACACGUGACGAUUCACCAUCCGUAGACGAAGUUGCAAAGUUCCAGCAAGGAUCCUUAAACCGUUCGAUCUCCCCGACUCAAAACCGACAAAGUCCGUUAGCGGACUCGAAGUCAUCAAGUCAGAAUCGUCGUCGACGAUCCUCCAGUCGAUCCGGUCAAGAGAUUCAGUCAAAAUCCUCCCAUGGACGCAGGGAGUCGGGGUCCGGAAACAAGUGGAGAUGCGACGUAUGUGGGUACGAGACGAGCAUCGCACGGAAUCUUCGCAUUCAUAUGACGAGUGAGAAACAUGCACAGAAUGUGGCGCUCAUGGAGAGAGGUUUGCUGGGAAUUUCUCGAGGAGAACAAGAGAGUCGCAACGAUCGCGGAAAACCUAAUUCUGCAAUGGUCCCAUCUUCACCUAUGGGUCUCAUGGAAUAUUAUGCGGCCGCCUUCAAGAAUCUCCGCGAGCACGUGGGAGAUGCAGGUGAAGGAGCUGAUCACAUAAGGAACGCCCAAGCUGAGUAUCUUCAACAACAAUUACUCAUCUCACAGCAACAACAGUUGUUUCUUGCACAACAGUACCAGCAGGUAAUGAUGGCAGCUGCUGCAUCAAGUAUACAACAGAAGCUAGCCUCGGCGCAGUCAUCUGAAGCGGACACAAAUACUCGGCAUUCGGUACAAAAGCAAGUCGAACCAGAACCUGCACGCCAAAGUCCCAUGUGGAACCGAAUACUCAACUCGUUGGAAGAAAACAACGGAAGGAGCACCUUAUCUUUUUUAAAGGGUCGCUCCGGUGAAGUAACGUCGUCAAAGUUAUUUUCCUGCGGUUUGUGUGGAAUUUUCGGCUGCGACGACUUGAUCGAUCUCGAACGUCAUCUUAGGAAGACACGGCACUGUGACGUCAUAAACGAUGUGGGAUCCAGCGAGUGGGUAACGAGAAGUCCCCGGGAAGGGUUCGUCUGCAAGCUCUGCAAAUAUGCAACACCGCUCAAAACCAACUUCAAUCUGCACUGCAAGACCGAGAAGCACACGUCGAAACUUAACCUUAUCGCUCAUGUAAGAGAAGGCGGCAGCAUCACUGAAUGGAUGAUCCCAUAUAUUGUUUCCGGGGACAUAACACAGAGUGUUUCCUGCAACACUUGUCGCUUGGUAUCAAGCAGUCUCGAAAAAAUGAAACUUCACAUCGUUUCGGACCAACAUCAAGGAGUGCUGACUGUUUGCCAGUAUCUUGAUGCUUUGUUGAGAAGCCACAAGGAAAAAGAUUCGGGAGAAUUUAAGAUGCGUUGUUUGGCUUGCAAGGAGUUUACAACACAGCACGUGGUUGAAAUGGUGAGUCACAUGCAGUCUGUCGAGCACCAGAACCAACUCCAGAACCAUAACAACCCACCGAUGACGACACUACAUGACGUCAUCGCAGUAGAGCCACUAGACGUUUCCAUGACGGAAGCCAAUUCAAACGUGUCACGUGAUAAAGAAUUACCCAAUCACGAUCAAGCGAAGGCAGAAAACUUACAGUGUCUAUAUUGCAACUAUACAAGUAGCGACCAGGAUCGAAUGCGACUUCAUACUUUGACACAACAUAACUCACAGCCACCGAUCAAAUGUCCAAUAUGCCAGGACGUGUUGAAGGACACAGUUCAUCUUCAACUUCAUCUCGUCCAAGUUCAUGGGAAACCCCCGAAUCCGAAUAAUAAUUGUGACGUCACAGGUGAAUCAGGCGACCAAAACUCAAACAGCGCGGAUUGUUCGGAAAGAAACAACAACGUAGAUAAGGAAGCUCAGUCAGCAGAGAGAAAAGUGGACACCUCGUUGACGAUGAACGAGAAUAUGGCUGGAAUGGAAGUACAAACAUUAGACGUUAACACGAAUUCGGAAAUUACGACCGAGACAUUACCAAAAGAACCGCCCACAUCAGGAGCAUUAAAACCGCCUUAUGCUUGCAACCCAUGCGAAGUUACGUAUGUUAACGAAGCAGAUCUCUUCCGCCAUCUAGCGUCCGAAAGCCACAAAGAAACAAUCUCCCGGAACGAAAACAAAUCAGAAUCUGCUUUGAAUGAUCUCGAUCUGGUGUCAAAAUCCUGUCCGGAUUUGGUUGCUUCUGUCAGCGAACAAGUUUCACGCGGAAGACUUCAAGAUGUUAGGUCGUUAUUCGUACAAAGCAAGUCAGGAGAAGCACCUAAGCAUAAGCGCGUCCGUGUUCGUUCUUGCCCCCUCGACAGCGGUUCCAGGAGCAGAGCGUGUGAACAUCUACUCUCAAAGUAUGGGCUUGAGCAAGCGAAGCAUUACGUCGAGAACAGAAGUCCAGAGAACAGAAAUAAAGCGAAGAGUUGGCGAUUGGAGCAGAAAUGGGGAGGCUCUGUAGACGAUAGUUGUAUAAAUCAAGAGAUGUGGUUGGCCGAUUCAAACGCGAAGGAUUCUUGCGAUAACCACACGAAUGGUGGUGAUAAUUGUGAACAGCAACAAAAUACAGAUUCUCAUCCAAAACCUGAGGAAGUCUCUCCAGAAAACGACGGUGAACAGGACGCCCAGCCUUGCAGGUUUUGUGGGAAAGAGUUUACUGGCUUGUGGGUGCUAAAAGCACAUGAAGAAGUCGCUCAUGGCGUCUGCGUGCCGACCAACGCUAUACAGUCUCUCGCUGCUGCGUACACUGACCAGUUCAAGGAAAAGAAUGACCAUAAGUUGGAAAAUGGCAAUACCGAUAAUGCAGGAAUCGGCGCUGUUAUGUCGCAAAGUCCAGAGCCAAAUACCGAAACUCCAAAUACGUUUGCACUGCCAAACAACUUGGACGGUGAUGCGUUGAAAGAGACUUCCCUUCAGCAACAAUUACAACAAAGUAUGCUGGUCAAAGCGAUUUUAAACGCGCAACAAAAUGCUCAAGACCCGUCAGAAUCCAAAGCUGUGAACGAACCAAAACGGCAAAUGUUUAUGGGCGAUCAAAACAUGUUUUCAAUGAACCUCUACUCUGCUUUACUACAAGCACAAGCACAGGCAGUUGGUCUUACACCUUACCAGCUUCUGGCUAAUGCAGCUGCUGUACAACAGAUACAGCAACUCAGUUUGGCAGGCGGAGCACCAGGCUUCCAGGUACCUGAUGAAAUGUCUGGUAAAUCUCCACUUUUCAGUCAUCCAGCACAAACUGGUUUGGACUUGUUUCAAAAGCAGGAGCAGAUGAAUAAGAUGCAGGGAGCUCCUCAUUUCCCACCCCAACACCAGAACAACGCUCAUUCGAGCACCGUUGAAAUCCCGAUCAAACGACCUCGCACUCGAAUCACAGAUGAGCAGUUGAAAGUUCUUCGCGCCAACUUCGACAUAAAUAAUUCCCCGAGCGAGACACAGAUAGAUGACAUGGCAUCCCAAACUUCACUGCCACCGAAAGUUAUCAAGCAUUGGUUCCGGAACACUUUGUUCAAGGAGCGACAGCGGUCCAAGGACUCACCAUACAACUUCAGCAUCCCACCUCUGCUUAGUCUGGAGGAUGCUUAUAGGACACAACCUGAGAAGCAGGAGACCACAGCUCAAGAUUCCACAGCACCCACCCCAAAGGAUCAAGAAAACACAAGCAAAUUAAGCAGUCCGGAUAAACAGAGUUUUGAAGUGAAGACUGAGGUCCAAGACUCGCUUAUGGAAAUUACUCCUCUUCAAAUUGACGAAGGUGAACAACCUGACAGCAACGAGAAGAAGGAAAACGAAGGCCUGCUCGCACAGAAUGUAAGCACAGUGGAGGCGCAAAUGAAACAAGAACUAUCGGAGGAUGUUUUAAGGACGAUACGUGUUGGAGGAAUGGAACAAAAGCAGCUUCCCCAAGCAUUGUUCACUGAUGCCCUUUCCCUUGUGCCAUGCCUUCCUAGUGUGUUGGAUAAAUCACCCAAAGGCAACGGGCAGGAAUUUCCACAGGAUUCCAAAUCGAGUCUGCCCACCCUACAUCCAUCUUUACCAAGUUGGCCUCAAAGCUUCUCUGAGGGAUCUUCAUUCCUGGACACUUCGUACGAAACUUCUUCAUCGUCGCAUGGAUGCAGAAGAACCCCAAGAACACGAUUCACUGACUUCCAGCUGCAGGUACUGCAAGAGUUCUUCGAUAAGAACGCCUACCCAAAAGAUGAUGAUUUAGACAAGCUGUCCAAAACACUUGACCUGAGCACUCGUGUUAUUGUUGUCUGGUUCCAAAACGCUCGACAAAAAGCAAGGAAGAACUUUGAGCAGAGCCAGCAGCCACAUGUAAAUAUAUCACCAGGACAGCCAAUCCAAGCCACAUCGUACCGACCAGUAUCACCUGUUGUAGAAGAAGCGAUCGCAAAAGCUCGACUCCUGACCCAGGGUAGCAAAACUGAUUUGGACAAUUUUGUAAGGAAAUCAAUGAAUGAAGUCGGAAAAAACAUUCAACCAAAAGAUAAGCAAUCUCCAAGCUUACAAGAAUCUUUCAAAACUUCCACACGAACACCUAGCAAUGACAGCAACCCACAGAGUCAUUCUAGAACUUCAUCAAACACAGAAAACAAAGAAAAGUCAAACUUUCCAUGCCAGGUUUGUGACUUAUCCUUUGCUACAAUCCCACAGUGGCAAGCUCACCAACAAGUCCAUCUCGCUGCCAACGUCGCUUCAGUGUUCGGGCAGUACGGCUUCAUGUACAUGCAAGGAUUAAUGGGGGAUGAGCAGAAAACCGAAGACAAGAAGGUGGAAGAAAAAUCUGUCAGUGAUUCGUGGUCCAACAACACAGAUAAGUUGGGUUGGAAUGGCCAACAGCCAUGGAUGAAACAUAGUAUCGAACAGAAGUUGCCAAAUCAAGCAAGAACAAUCUCAGACGACAAGGCGAGCACUAUUCGUUCGCGAUUGGUCACUCCACCCAUGGGAGGAGCAAAGAGGAAAAUAUCAACUUCUCCCACUCUCUCUCACUCCUCCUCUUCCUCCACAAGCCCAUCCAUGGUUCAGAACAGCAUGAUGCGACAAAAAGGUGCGUAUAUGGAUGAACGGGAUUCACUGGGUAAAGACCCAAAAAGAUUGCGAACAACAAUUACUCCAGAACAAUUGGAAUAUCUUUACCAACAGUACCUUGUGGAUUCGAGUCCAAGUCGUAAAAUAAUCGAGCAAAUAUCGGAAGCUGUUGGUUUAAAAAAGAGAGUUGUACAGGUUUGGUUCCAAAACACUCGCGCCCGGGAAAGAAAAGGCCAAUUCCGUUCGUCUGUAGCAAGAUGUUCAAGCGGGCAGGUUCAGUACAAAUUCUGCCAACUUUGUAGGAUGGUGUUUCGUAGCAAGAUUGAGCUGGAUACUCACAUGCAAGUGCGACACAACGAACAUUCGUCCAAGGAUGAACCUGCGGACAAAAAAAUGCGUCUCGCUAUUGGUUCCCCCCAACUUUCUCAAUCUCCAGCCAUAAACAGAGACACGGUUCAACAAGAUUAUAGAAAAUUCGACAAUUCUCGUAGUUCUAGCGACCAAGGAAACAAAUCAAUGCACAGCAUGCAUGAAAAUGCUCCAUCACCGAUGCGCUUGCAAAACCAAACACAGAAACCAAAACAAGAAAAUAAUUUCCUGAAAGAAUCCAAUUACAAUGCUGACACAGCUCGAACAAAUCACAUCAACAGUUUGAAGCAAUUGUUUGGCGGCGCCAAUGCGAACACGCCAUCCACUCUUGAUCUGCAACAAAAGCUAGCUGCACUUUACGCAUCUAGAAAAGAAGUUUACCAAUCCAUCGACCCGAGCCCACUACUUGCUCUGCAGUUGCCAACAUCGAGCACCGAAACAAACCAGCAAAUUGUUCCACGAUCCAGCGAAAAUAUUUCAACACCACCUCCAGUUAACUCAACAUCCCAGAAAAACACAUCAAAUAUUGCUGUUUCAUCUAAAACUGGCAAUGAACAAAGCCAGGAUAAAUCUUUCCAACAGGAUAUAUCGGCUACCCACCAGACUUCUGACACUGCUGCAAUUUCUCCUCAUUCACCAACCAGCAAGCAAAAGUUCCUUGCUUAUAUGAAUGAAGGCACCUACGCGACUCCAAAGAGAUAUCGCACACAGAUGACAUCUGUACAAGUUCGAGCUCUGAAGAGUUGCUUCCGCUCGUACAAGACACCAUCCCUUACUGAGUGUGAAGUGCUGGGCAGUGAGAUUGGAUUGCCUAAGCGAGUUAUUCAAGUUUGGUUCCAAAACGCACGGGCCAAGGAAAAGAAAUACAAACUGCAGAAUCCAGAUUGCCAAGACAAAUAUUCUGACCAGAGUCAACUAACUGAAUGUCCAACAUGCUUCCCAAUCGUCCGAUUUUCGCUUGCUGCAGAAGUGAGAGAGCACGCCUUCUCACACAUCCACCUACAACAGCUGAUGAAGGGUUCCGACUCUGGAUUAAGCAAUGAACCAAGACACAGUUACAACAGCAGUCCCAGUUCUUCUCAUGGUAGUUUCGAUAACUCUUACAUGGCAGACCAGCCAAUGAGCGAUACACAACACUCUGAACAGUUUCUGUUCAAUCACGUCCAAAGCAGCGCCGCAGAACCUUCCAGUACGUCAAGUCUGACACCAAGCUCUGCUGAAUACAGCUGUGCGCAGACGAUGAGUCGGCUUUCGAGCGCCGAAAGCUUAAACGCCGCAGAUACAGCGAUGCAUGAAGCUUCAGGUUCAACAACACCAGAUAAAGAAGAAGCCGAUCAUUCCUCUGAAUACACAAAUGCUCUGAUGAGCAACCCAGCGUUGUUGCAGCAAUACCAGCAAGCUGUCCAGAAGAUGAUGACUGGCGGCAAUGAGGUUAUAAACGAUGCAGAUGCCCAAAGCAUGCACCAGGCAAGACUACAAGCUUUUCAAAGAUCGCUUUAUAAGGUAAGUAAAUCUAUAGGGUUGCGAAAACUCUAUGUUGUGUACGUUAAGUGGUUAUGUUACAUUCAUUCAUACUAUGAACAUAAGUAGUUUGAAUGUUGUUGAGAAAUAAAUGGGCCAACUUUUGCCUAAAUCCUAGGUCUUCUGGCAAGCACCUUGCCUAAAUAGAAUAGAACAAAAGAAUUGAAGGAUAGCCCAGAUUUUAAUUUAAAACUUUUCAUUAAAAUAGUUUUUUUUAUUAGAUGUUAAAUCUUCCCCACACAUCUGCAGCUGGAGGUCGAUAGAGAGUCUUCGAAUUUCCGCACAACGACUGUGUUCCCGUACUGCGUCUUUUGUUCCACUUCUAAGUUUCACCUUUGUACAAAGAAAGUAUUCACAACAGGCACAAGCUACAAUAACAUAUACAGCAAUGAAUUCUUUACAAGUUGUCCCCCUUCUUCAAGUUAAUGAAGUUUCCACAUUCUGCAUGGCAGAAAUCCCACCAAUCAACACAUCUCUUAUAUACUGCAAUAUCCCAAUAUAAUCUGCCAUUGUAUAAUAUCUGAGUAUUGCAGCGACAUAUAUUGCUUUGUAUUAUUGAUUAUACCACCAAUGUGUGCCGGUAGACAAGUAUCUGCAGUAUAGACAGGCCGAAUAGUAUCGCUUUUAUUUUCUACGCAGUAUCAUCUAUUUCUCAGUUUCUAUUUUAGUUCUGUAUUCCUCGUAAUCGGUACGAAUUUCACGCCCCAUGACUGCGAUUAAGUGUUCCGUCCAAUUAUUUCGUUGCCUUUCUCACAUUUUUUUUAAUCCUAUUUUUUCUUUGGAAUUUUCUCGUUUCGUCACCAAACAUAGUUGUUAUCGCAUCCAUCGAGAUGCAUCUGUCGCUCGUGCCUUAUUAUGACAAACUCUUCAAUUUUCUUUUACAAUUCCUCAGCAAAAUUCCAAAUGCUAAGCGUCACCGCCAACAAUACGCGAUGUCAACUUGUUUUUCAUUCAUUUCUUUGCCUUACUUUCCCAAAACCAUGUAUUUUUUUCUGCUGUACUUUGUUGCCUUCACACAGGCCAAUCUUGUAUACUCCCUGAUUCCAGUGUCUCAUGUUACGUUUGCUUCUCACCGAAGUGAAAAUAAAUGAAGUAGAUGGUUAAUAAUAAA
Ciona intestinalis (vase tunicate) is the source of this 9707-nucleotide non-coding RNA. The record is from RefSeq and is a predicted model, not a curated record. NCBI's taxonomy places the organism in Eukaryota, Metazoa, Chordata, Ascidiacea, Phlebobranchia, Cionidae.